This 492-nucleotide ribosomal RNA is filed under the name uncultured bacterium. Its description in RNAcentral is "partial 16S ribosomal RNA". It matches the Rfam family "Bacterial small subunit ribosomal RNA", at positions 29 to 507 of the family's 1533-position model. The record is from RNAcentral.
AGUGAACGCUGGCGGUAUGCCUAACACAUGCAAGUCGAACGGCAGCACCGUAAGAGCUUGCUCUUACGGGUGGCGAGUGGCGGACGGGUGAGGAAUACAUCGGAAUCUACUUUUUCGUGGGGGAUAACGUAGGGAAACUUACGCUAAUACCGCAUACGACCUACGUGUGAAAGCAGGGGAUCUUCGGACCUUUCGCGAUUGAAUGAGCCGAUGUCGGAUUAGCUAGUUGGCGGGGUAAAGGCCCAACAAGGCGACGAUCCGUAGCUGGUCUGAGAGGAUGAUUAGACACACUGGAACUGAGACACGGUCCAGACUCCUACGGGAGGCAGCAGUGGGGAAUAUUGGACAAUGGGCGAAAGCCUGAUCCAGCCAUACCGCGUGGGUGAAGAAGGCCUUCGGGUUGUAAAGCCCUUUUGUUGGGAAAGAAAAGCAGCAGGUUAAUACCCCGCUGUUCUGACGGUACCCAAAGAAUAAGCACCGGCUAACUUCGUG